Molecule: ribosomal RNA, 460 nt
Filed under: uncultured bacterium
Lineage: Bacteria
Description: partial 16S ribosomal RNA
Rfam family: Bacterial small subunit ribosomal RNA
Source: RNAcentral
CCUACGGGGGGCAGCAGUGAGGAAUAUUGGUCAAUGGACGAGAGUCUGAACCAGCCACGUAGCGUGAAGGAUGACUGCUCUAUGGGUUGUAAACUUCUUUUAUAAAGGAAUAAAACGAGGCACGUGUGCCUUUUUGCAUGUACUUUAUGAAUAAGGAUCGGCUAACUCCGUGCCAGCAGCCGCGGUAAUACGUAGGAUCCGAGCGUUAUCUGGAUUUAUUGGGUUUAAAGGGAGCGUAGGUGGGUGGUUAAGUCAGUUGUGAAAGUUUGCGGCUCAACCGUAAAAUUGCAAUUGAUACUGGCAGUCUUGAGUACAGUUGAGGUAGGCGGAAUUCGAGGUGUAGCGGUGAAAUGCGUAGAUAUCACGAAGAACCCCGAUUGCGAAGGCAGCUUACUAAACUGUGACUGACAUUGAUGCUCGAAAGUGUGGGUAGCAAACAGGAUUAGAUACCCUUGUAGUC